GGGGGAAAUGAGGAGAGAGGGGGAGAGGUGAUGAUGAAUUUCACCAUGGAUCGAUAAAGCUGAUGGAUAUCUUCGGGUGUCAGAGGCACAGUACAAGAUUGGAAAAUAAUCGUGUGGACAGAGACAAGGUAAUUUGCUGCAAUAAUCAUGAAUCUAAGAGCCUCCACGUCCCGCGCGCUGCUCGCGUUCCGUCCCGGAGGGACGGUUCCGCCGCUGGAUGCGUUGCAACGUUCGUCCCGUCCCGUAGCCCGUAUCCACGAGACAAGGGAUGCGUUGGCCAGUCACGCGCCCGGGCGACAGAAGCAGGAGGCUGCUCGCAAGGAUGUGGAGAGGGCAUUCGGGGUUCUUCAAGCACGCUUCAACAUCAUCAAAGGCCCGGCUCGUUCGUGGUUCAUGGAGAGCAUGGUCGACAUCAUGUAUACGUGCAUAAUCUUGCACAACAUGAUUGUCCAAUACGAAGGACCCGAGGCGGGAAAUUG
Salvia splendens (bonfire salvia) is the source of this 479-nucleotide long non-coding RNA. RefSeq lists it as uncharacterized. The transcript has 3 exons. Lineage: Eukaryota; Viridiplantae; Streptophyta; Magnoliopsida; Lamiales; Lamiaceae. The record is from RefSeq and is a predicted model, not a curated record.